Leopardus geoffroyi (Geoffroy's cat) is the source of this 1099-nucleotide long non-coding RNA. RefSeq lists it as uncharacterized. NCBI's taxonomy places the organism in Eukaryota, Metazoa, Chordata, Mammalia, Carnivora, Felidae. The record is from RefSeq and is a predicted model, not a curated record. The transcript has 3 exons.
GAAUCCCAACCGCAAACUGGUGGUUGCAAAGGAGCCUUUCCUCCACCAUCUCUCACCCUCAGCUCCUCUAUCGGAUAUAGCAGCCAGCAGAGCUGUUACACCUGUUCUCAUUCUCCACCUCCUAGACACAGAGUAUAAUUUCACUGCCUUUUUUCACUGGAACACAGGCAGGUCAUAUGCCUUGCAUUGGCCAGUGGGGAGUGAGUGAAAGUGCUUGCAUCAUCUCCGGCCGAUCCAUUUACUUCUCAGUGCCAGACAGAGCAGCACCCCUGAUCCCUAGCAUAGUGGUCCUGGAACCAUAACUGGUGAUGAAGCGUCUGUCGGCCUGGAGCCCUCAGCAAUUUCAAGGAGCAGAGCCCCCACUACACACACACUGGACAGAUAAUGCAAAUGACGGAACAAUAUUCAGUGCUAGAAAGAAGUGAGCUACCAAUCAUGGAAAGACACAGAGAGCCUUAAACACAUAUUACUAAGUGAGAGAAGCCAAUCUGAAAAGGCUACAUACUGUAUGAUUCCAGUUAUAUGAGAUUUUGAAAAAGGCAAAACUAUGGACACCACGAAAAGGUCAGUGUGUUCUAGGGGUUGGGGGCGGGAGGGAUAAACAGGCAGAACACAAAGAAAUUUUGGGGCACUGAAACUAUUCUGCACAGUAGUGCAAUGGUGGAGGCAUAUCAGUGUACGUGUCAAACCCCAUAGAAUGUACAGUACCAAGAAGGUAAACUAUAGACUUUGGUGAUAAUGAUGUGUCCAUAAUAACAAAUGUACUGCUCUGGUGGGAGAUGUUGAUGGUAAGGAUGAUUGUGCAUGUGUGGGGUCUAUGGGAACUUUUUGCACCUUACUCAAUUUUGCUGUGAACUUAAAACUGCUCUAAAAAGUCAAGUCUACUGAAAUAACAACAGUAACAUUCUCUUUCAUGCUUCUGGAGGAGACGAUACCUUCUUGGGAGCGAGUCUGAGGGGUGGUGAAGCUGAGCACUCCAGUUCUCUUACGGGGGGAGCCUGUAGUGUGAAAUGAGACACUAGGGUCCAGUGGUGGCCACGAUGGUGAAGAACAAGUGGGGUAACCUCCCAGUAGGGGGAGGGAGGUGCUCAGAGUCAAG